AACACAUUUGCCCCGACGACGGGGGGGCACACAGGCACGCACCUCAUACAGCGCAUGGCAUCUCAGGGCACGGUGCCCCUGCCCCCCACCCCCACCCACUCUGAGGGCGGAAGCCAAGCAGCUCCCAACCUAACCCUGCCAAUGCCAAGCCCCUUCGCGUGGUGACAGGGUCAAGCACCUACAAGGUAGGGGAGGCCAGAGCGAUGCACCGCCACGGAUGCCGGCGGCCCGGUCCUGGACGGGCGCUGCGUCGGAGCGGCCUGCGACGGCGAGCACGCUUGUGCGCCACCCAUAUGGCUAGGCAGUGUGCCAACACGUGACUCGAGCGCAGCUCAGCCGGCCCUCACACUGCCCACGGGGGCGAGGGGACCCUGAGCCACCGCGAAGGCGGAGGGGACGCGCCACGCGGCGGCGUGCGAAGUGGGUAGGUGGGGGGAGAGGUUGAGGCCGAGGGCAUGCUCCGAUGGCUGAGGCGGCGCAUCGCCCUGGCGCGUGUCGACGGCCGCUUCGCACCACAUGACGGGCGGCGUGUGACAGGGCCCGGUGGCGGUAGCGCGUGGCGUUUCACCUCACAUGGUGUGCGGCAGACAAAAUCGAAAAUGUGGAAGAGGCGACAACGUCUUUGCUCUCAAGCUGGUGCGCCUACCCAUACCCACUUUUUGCUCUCGCUCUUCCGCAGUCAACACUCGUCUCUCUCUACCCCCGUCUCUCUGCUCCCGUAAACGGCACCCCCACCGCACCACACAG
RNAcentral lists this unclassified non-coding RNA (747 nucleotides) under Leishmania donovani. RNAcentral's name for it is "gene:unknown". Lineage: Eukaryota; Euglenozoa; Kinetoplastea; Trypanosomatida; Trypanosomatidae. The record is from RNAcentral.